This 37-nucleotide non-coding RNA is filed under the name Alexandrium minutum. Lineage: Eukaryota; Dinophyceae; Gonyaulacales; Pyrocystaceae. The record is from RNAcentral.
UUUUUUUUUUUUUUUUUUUUUUUUUUUUUUUUUUCAU